AUGGUUUGUGCUAGGACGGCCAGUGCUCCUCUGCUCGCUGCAGCACUAGUAGCGGCGCUGGCAGUGGCCUGCUCGCUGGUGUCUGGGGCUUAUGCGGCGGCAGAGCAGGAGGCCGCCGGCGCCGGCGGGAAUGACUUGAGGUUGAGGCAGCCUCCGAUCACGCGCGGCCUGUCCUUCGACUUCUACAAGCGGAGCUGCCCCAUGGCCGAGUGCAUCGUGCGCCACUUCGUCCGGGACGCCGUCCGCAAGGACGUCGGCCUCGCCGCCGGCCUCCUCCGCCUCCACUUCCACGACUGCUUCGUCCAGGGGUGCGGCCGUGCCCGCGUCAUGCAUGCAUGCAGGGCUGCGACGGGGCCGGGGGAGCAGCGGGCGCCGCCCAACCUCACGCUCCGCCCCUCCGCCUUCAAGGCCAUCAACGACAUCCGGGAUCGGCUGGAGCGCGAGUGCCGCGGCGCCGUCGUCUCCUGCUCCGACAUCCUGACGCUCGCCGCGCACGACUCCGUGGUCGCCACCGGCGGGCCCGAGUACCGCGUGCCGCUCGGCCGGCACGACAGCCCGCGGUUCGCCACGCCGCAGGACGUGCUGUCCGGCCUCCCCGCGCCCACCUCCGCCGUGCCGUCCCUCCUGGACGUCUUCACAACCACAGCCUCCACCUCGACGCCACCGACCUCGUCGCGCUCUCCGGCGGGCACACCGUGGGGCUCGGGCACUGCGCCUCCUUCGAGGGCCGCCUCUUCCCGCGCCCCGACCUCCUCCGCAGGCUGA
This 765-nucleotide ribosomal RNA is filed under the name Triticum aestivum (bread wheat). Its description in RNAcentral is "partial small subunit ribosomal RNA". The record is from RNAcentral. Lineage: Eukaryota; Viridiplantae; Streptophyta; Magnoliopsida; Poales; Poaceae.